ACCUUGGAACUUGGCAGAGAUGCCUUGGUGCCUUCGGGAACCGUGAGACAGGUGCUGCAUGGCUGUCGUCAGCUCGUGUUGUGAAAUGUUGGGUUAAGUCCCGCAACGAGCGCAACCCUUAUCCUUUGUUGCCAGCGGUUCGGUCGGGAACUCAAAGGAGACUGCCAGUGAUAAACUGGAGGAAGGUGGGGAUGACGUCAAGUCAUCAUGGCCCUUACGAGUAGGGCUACACACGUGCUACAAUGGCAUAUACAAAGAGAAGCGACCUCGCGAGAGCAAGCGGACCUCAUAAAGUAUGUCGUAGUCCGGAUCGGAGUCUGCAACUCGACUCCGUGAAGUCGGAAUCGCUAGUAAUCGUGGAUCAGAAUGCCACGGUGAAUACGUUCCCGGGUCUUGUACACACCGA
RNAcentral lists this ribosomal RNA (406 nucleotides) under Enterobacter kobei. Its description in RNAcentral is "bacterial SSU rRNA". It matches the Rfam family "Bacterial small subunit ribosomal RNA", at positions 987 to 1393 of the family's 1533-position model. Lineage: Bacteria; Pseudomonadati; Pseudomonadota; Gammaproteobacteria; Enterobacterales; Enterobacteriaceae. The record is from RNAcentral.